RNAcentral lists this ribosomal RNA (650 nucleotides) under uncultured bacterium. RNAcentral's name for it is "bacterial SSU rRNA". It matches the Rfam family "Bacterial small subunit ribosomal RNA", at positions 93 to 740 of the family's 1533-position model. The record is from RNAcentral.
GAGUGGCGAACGGGUGAGUAAUGCAUCGGAACGUGCCCAGUAGUGGGGGAUAGCCCGGCGAAAGCCGGAUUAAUACCGCAUACGACUAUGGGUGAAAGCGGGGGAUCGUAAGACCUCGCGCUAUUGGAGCGGCCGAUGUCAGAUUAGGUAGUUGGUGGGGUAAAGGCCUACCAAGCCGACGAUCUGUAGCUGGUCUGAGAGGACGACCAGCCACACUGGGACUGAGACACGGCCCAGACUCCUACGGGAGGCAGCAGUGGGGAAUUUUGGACAAUGGGGGAAACCCUGAUCCAGCCAUGCCGCGUGCGGGAAGAAGGCCUUCGGGUUGUAAACCGCUUUUGUCAGGGAAGAAAUCCUUUGGGCUAAUACCCUAGAGGGAUGACGGUACCUGAAGAAUAAGCACCGGCUAACUACGUGCCAGCAGCCGCGGUAAUACGUAGGGUGCAAGCGUUAAUCGGAAUUACUGGGCGUAAAGCGUGCGCAGGCGGUUGUGCAAGACAGAUGUGAAAUCCCCGGGCUUAACCUGGGAACUGCAUUUGUGACUGCACAGCUGGAGUGCGGCAGAGGGGGAUGGAAUUCCGCGUGUAGCAGUGAAAUGCGUAGAUAUGCGGAGGAACACCGAUGGCGAAGGCAAUCCCCUGGGCCUGCAC